UUUAGCAUGGAAUAAUGGAAUAGGACUUUGGUUCUAUUUUGUUGGUUUUAAGGACCAAUGUCAUGAUUAAUAGGGACAGUCGGGGGCAUCAGUAUUCAGUAGUCAGAGGUGAAAUUCUUGGAUCUACUGAAGACUAACUACUACGAAAGCAUUUGCCAAGGAUGUUUUCAUUAAUCAGGAACGAAAGUUAGGGGAUCGAAGACGAUCAGAUACCGUCGUAGUCCUAACCAUAAACUAUGCCGACUAGGGAUCGGACAGUGCUAUUUUUUGGCCUGUUCGGAACCUUGCGCGAAAGCAGAAGUUUCUGGGUUCUGGGGGGAGUAUGGUCGCAAGGCUGAAACUUAAAGAAAUUGACGGAAGGGCACCACCAGGGGUGGAGCCUGCGGCUUAAUUUGACUCAACACGGGGAAACUCACCAGGUCCAGACAUGACAAGGAUUGACAGAUUGAGAGCUCUUUCUUGAUUUCAUGGGUGGUGGUGCAUGGCCGUUCUUAGUUGGUGGAGUGAUUUGUCUGCUUAAUUGCGAUAACGAACGAGACCUUAACCGGUUAACUAGCCCGGCCCGCUCCGGCGGGGCGCCGGCUUCUUAGAGGGACUAUCGGCUCAAGCCGAUGGAAGUUUGAGGCAAUAACAGGUCUGUGAUGCCCUUAGAUGUUUUGGGCCGCACGCGCGCUACACUGACGCACCCAGCGAGUAUCUCCUUGGCCGGCGGGCACGGGUAAUCUUAUGAAAGUGCGUCGUGCUGGGGAUAGAGCAU
RNAcentral lists this ribosomal RNA (757 nucleotides) under uncultured fungus. Its description in RNAcentral is "bacterial SSU rRNA". It matches the Rfam family "Eukaryotic small subunit ribosomal RNA", at positions 803 to 1584 of the family's 1831-position model. The record is from RNAcentral. Lineage: Eukaryota; Fungi.